CAGUCGUACUUGCGGGCAAUCAGCCUUUUGGGUGUGAUUAUGUGGGGCGUGAGGAGUUAAUCACCCUCAUCUUUGCAUAUUCGUGCACUUUGGGUGUACUUGCUCGUGUGGUAGGUUAACAUCAAUUUUGGUCAUCAUAAAAUGGCCGGAGGAAUGUAGCUUCGGUCUCGUAUUGAAGUGUUAUAGACUCUGGUAGAUGUGACGAUUGGGAUUGAGGAUUGCAACGGAUACCCUUCGGGGCUACUCGUCUGAUCUCUGAGGUUGCUCCGGUGCCG
RNAcentral lists this ribosomal RNA (275 nucleotides) under Glomus sp. (unid). Lineage: Eukaryota; Fungi; Glomeromycota; Glomeromycetes; Glomerales; Glomeraceae. The record is from RNAcentral.